AAGAGGUUCAAAUGAGGAGGAGGAACAUUACAGGCCCAGCUAAUGAAAGAGGGACUGAACCGCAGAAUUCCUUUAUAACAACAGGAGGGAAACCAGAGAGCAUCUAUAAUCAUAUCUGAUGAAGGUGAAUGUCCUCUGUCUUCAUUUUGAGGCUGCUCCAGUCCCUCUCUGAUGGGAAUGAAGUUCUAAUAAGGAAUUGAUUUUUUUAGGGAGAAGAAACGCCGUAAAGAGGAUGACCUUCUGACCCCAUUGCUCAUAGAAGGUGUGGCAGCUGAUAGUCCUCAUCCUCGAGAAUCGAUGUGGCCGGCCUCAUAACCACCCUUGGCCGAUUUCAGGGGCCCUUAAUGUGUCAUCAAUGUGUCAUCGAGCAUACGUCUUAGCCAGAGGCGACAGGACCUCCCCCCCCCCGUCGGAUGAGAGGGCGGAGAGUGGCAUUUCCCCCAAUUCUGUGAAAUGGUGCAGAAAACAGGAGAAAGAGGG
Molecule: non-coding RNA, 480 nt
Organism: Xyrichtys novacula (pearly razorfish)
Lineage: Eukaryota; Metazoa; Chordata; Actinopteri; Labriformes; Labridae
Source: the annotation of a GenBank genome assembly